AGUGAACGCUGGCGGUAGGCCUAACACAUGCAAGUCGAACGGCAGCACAGGAGAGCUUGCUCUCUGGGUGGCGAGUGGCGGACGGGUGAGGAAUACAUCGGAAUCUACUCUGUCGUGGGGGAUAACGUAGGGAAACUUACGCUAAUACCGCAUACGACCUACGGGUGAAAGCAGGGGACCUUCCGGCCUUGCGCGAUUGAAUGAGCCGAUGUCGGAUUAGCUAGUUGGCGGGGUAAAGGCCCACCAAGGCGACGAUCCGUAGCUGGUCGUGAGAGGAUGAUCAGCCACACUGGAACUGAGACACGGUCCAGACUCCUACGGGAGGCAGCAGUGGGGAAUAUUGGACAAUGGGCGCAAGCCUGAUCCAGCCAUACCGCGUGGGUGAAGAAGGCCUUCGGGUUGUAAAGCCCUUUUGUUGGGAAAGAAAUCCAGCCGGCUAAUACCCGGUUGGGAUGACGGUACCCAAAGAAUAAGCACCGGCUAACUUCGUGCCAGCAGCCGCCGUAA
Molecule: ribosomal RNA, 507 nt
Filed under: uncultured bacterium
Lineage: Bacteria
Description: partial 16S ribosomal RNA
Rfam family: Bacterial small subunit ribosomal RNA
Source: RNAcentral